This is a long non-coding RNA of Prionailurus viverrinus (fishing cat), 1213 nucleotides long. RefSeq lists it as uncharacterized. The record is from RefSeq and is a predicted model, not a curated record. The transcript has 5 exons. Lineage: Eukaryota; Metazoa; Chordata; Mammalia; Carnivora; Felidae.
CUCGCUCUCUCUCCCUGGUAUCUCACCGCUGCAUCGGUGCAGGUACAACCAUGAUCUCUACAAGGUGGCAGCUUGGAUGUUCAAACUGAAUUCAGCUGUAUUACAUAUACACCUCCUACUCCUCUACCCAGCCCUAGUGAAGGAAUCUUGACCUUCUUAGGCACCGAGAACCCAGACUGAAGCAAGGAGGGGUAAAAUGAAUGACUGCGAAAACCAUUUCUCUCUAGAGGCACGGAGAAGAGGAGGACCUUUUGACAGGAGGUCCCUGACCAACAUCUUUGAAGAGCAAUAUAUCAAGCAUUCAAGGAGACAGUGGUCGUUCUAAAAGAAGUACAUAGUGUCCGAAAAGGGAAGCGGAUUUGUGCCAUAGGCCGCUGCCCUCUGAUGUGUGGACAAUCACGAGACCCAGAGUCAUCCUAGGGAGUUAAAGAACCACCAGCCUCACCACUGAAGACUGAGCACUGACGACUCCAGCCUUCCUGGAGAUGCGUAAGAAGUACAUGGCUUCCAGAACGAUACCUGCAUAAAAGCAAAACGGACUUCCAGGGUUUGGUGUGACAAGCAGUGAAGAAUACUGGCUCAUUUAUUAGCAGCAGCCACAACCUUUUUUCAGACCAUUAAAAAAAAAAAAUGAUGUCACUGCAUUUCGCCCAGAUCUGCUGUGGUGGCAAGAGUUUGGGAAAAUACCUGUCAGACUGAAAAACAAAAAACGGACAUUGUACUUCAAUCACAUUUAAUUCCGAAUGUGUUCAUCAACGUCAUUGUUCACCAUUCUGGAAAAAAAAAAGUUAUGAACAUAAUUACGUGUGUCGAUUCUCGAUCAAUUUUGUUCUAUAACUGAGGCAGAUACUACCCCGCCAAUUCUAAGUCAUCCUCACUUAUCAAAAAUUCAAGGGAGUUUUUAGAGACUUUAUUUUUCAAACUACCAAGGAAGUGCUCAGUAUCUCAUCAAGCAGCACAUUUUUAGCAAAUACUCUACUUCAUCACUUGGCUUUUCUUAAGACAACAGUUUGAGGAAGAAGAAAGCAUGAAAAAAGAUGAAACUUUUCUAUUCCCAGGCUCUGAACUAUGAGCCAAGGAGGAUGAUGGCAAGAAUCUCUCAUCUACUCAGAAAAAGUUAAAUAAAACUGAGAGUCCAUUAGAGAAGAGUUAGAGAUUCAUCCCCCUUGAGCUAUAUUUAAGCUCUCAACAUAAGAGGCAACAAGAAUUUCAA